GACCUCAGAUCAGGCAAGACUACCCGCUGAAUUUAAGCAUAUCAAUAAGCGGAGGAAAAGAAACUAACAAGGAUUCCCCCAGUAACGGCGAGUGAAGCGGGAAAG
This 105-nucleotide ribosomal RNA is filed under the name Zoanthus aff. sociatus KBJ-2018. Its description in RNAcentral is "partial 28S ribosomal RNA". It matches the Rfam family "Eukaryotic large subunit ribosomal RNA", at positions 1 to 106 of the family's 3401-position model. Lineage: Eukaryota; Metazoa; Cnidaria; Anthozoa; Zoantharia; Zoanthidae. The record is from RNAcentral.